AGUGAACGCUGGCGGUAGGCCUAACACAUGCAAGUCGAACGGCAGCACAGUAAGAGCUUGCUCUUACGGGUGGCGAGUGGCGGACGGGUGAGGAAUACAUCGGAAUCUACUUUUUCGUGGGGGAUAACGUAGGGAAACUUACGCUAAUACCGCAUACGACCUACGGGUGAAAGCAGGGGAUCUUCGGACCUUGCGCGAUUGAAUGAGCCGAUGUCGGAUUAGCUAGUUGGCGGGGUAAAGGCCCACCAAGGCGACGAUCCGUAGCUGGUCUGAGAGGAUGAUCAGCCACACUGGAACUGAGACACGGUCCAGACUACUACGGGAGGCAGCAGUGGGGAAUAUGGGACAAUGGGCGCAAGCCUGAUCCAGCCAGACCGCGUGGGUGAAGAAGGCCUUCGGGUUGUAAAGCCCUUUUGUUGGGAAAGAAAAGCAGCAGGUUAAUACCCCGCGGUUCUGACGGUACCCAAAGAAUAAGCACCGGCUAACUUCGUG
Molecule: ribosomal RNA, 492 nt
Filed under: uncultured bacterium
Lineage: Bacteria
Description: partial 16S ribosomal RNA
Rfam family: Bacterial small subunit ribosomal RNA
Source: RNAcentral